This is a long non-coding RNA of Engraulis encrasicolus (European anchovy), 841 nucleotides long. RefSeq lists it as uncharacterized. The transcript has 4 exons. NCBI's taxonomy places the organism in Eukaryota, Metazoa, Chordata, Actinopteri, Clupeiformes, Engraulidae. The record is from RefSeq and is a predicted model, not a curated record.
CAUGCAUGUUGACACAGCCAGCAGCGGGCACCCAUGGCACAUGGGGAUGGACCCAGGAGUGGAGGAUGACCCAAUAGGAUGAACGUUCAGCCCACUCACUGUUGACACCAGUGACACAGUAUUGACCAGAUCUCCUGGAAGUGCCCCCUGACGCAGACCCAGUUGUUGGGUAGCCACCCAUGCACGUUGACACAGCCAGCACCGAGCACCCAGGGGGAUGGAACCAGGAAUGGAGGAUGGUCCAAUAGGGUAGCAUCAUGAAGGCAGUUUACCCCUGAAACUUUUUACAAAGGACCAUCAUCGUCAGAGAAGUUCCUUUAACCCUUUAUCUCCCAUAGCGGCCGUGAACGCCCGGCCACCUCUCUCCCAUAAUGCCCGCCGACACCCGGAGUAUUUUCAUAGCUGAACAGAAGUCAUCAUGCAGUUUCUACAGCUUUCACUUUAGAUCACUAUUACAGACUCUCAAUAUAUUUUUAUUAUAAAAACUAUUUUGGGAAAUCCUGAACUACAGUGCAAAGUGGCUGAGCUCAAAAGUACGGGCUCGCUGCUGCUGCCCAGUAGAAAAUAUCUUUUAAAUGCAGUACAGUUCCUAAUUGUGCGUUCAUGUGGUAAUUACGUAAAUACCAAACACUGACAUCCGAAGCACACAUGAACGCCACCGGCCCUUGUAGAAAAUUUUGAUUAAUGAAUGCACUAUAUCUCUUCUCUUGCCUACCUCUCUUCUCCACAAGCUCUCCCCUCAUCUAAUCUCUUCAUUUUGCUAGUCCUCAUCUCUCUUUCUUCAUUGUGUUACUGUUUAAGCUGAUAACUGUUACUUUUAAAAAUUAAAUAGUUAAAGAUA